GCGGUUGUGGCUCAGUGUUAGAGUGCUUACCUAGCAUGCAUGAGGACCUGGGUUCAAUCCUCAGCACCACA
This 71-nucleotide transfer RNA is filed under the name Ictidomys tridecemlineatus (thirteen-lined ground squirrel). RNAcentral describes it as "Spermophilus tridecemlineatus (thirteen-lined ground squirrel) tRNA". It matches the Rfam family "tRNA". From Rfam's summary of the family: Transfer RNA (tRNA) molecules are approximately 80 nucleotides in length. Their secondary structure includes four short double-helical elements and three loops (D, anti-codon, and T loops). The record is from Rfam by way of RNAcentral. Lineage: Eukaryota; Metazoa; Chordata; Mammalia; Rodentia; Sciuridae.